CGGCAAAAGCUCAAAUUUGAAAUCUGGUACCUUCGGUGCCCGAGUUGUAAUUUGGAGAGGGCAACUUUGGGGCCGUUCCUUGUCUAUGUUCCUUGGAACAGGACGUCAUAGAGGGUGAGAAUCCCGUGUGGCGAGGAGUGCGGUUCUUUGUAAAGUGCCUUCGAAGAGUCGAGUUGUUUGGGAAUGCAGCUCUAAGUGGGUGGUAAAUUCCAUCUAAAGCUAAAUAUUGGCGAGAGACCGAUAGCGAACAAGUACAGUGAUGGAAAGAUGAAAAGAACUUUGAAAAGAGAGUGAAAAAGUACGUGAAAUUGUUGAAAGGGAAGGGCAUUUGAUCAGACAUGGUGUUUUGUGCCCUCUGCUCCUUGUGGGUAGGGGAAUCUCGCAUUUCACUGGGCCAGCAUCAGUUUUGGUGGCAGGAUAAAUCCAUAGGAAUGUAGCUUGCCUCGGUAAGUAUUAUAGCCUGUGGGAAUACUGCCAGCUGGGACUGAGGACUGCGACGUAAGUCAAGGAUGCUGGCAUAAUGGUUAU
Molecule: ribosomal RNA, 528 nt
Filed under: Saccharomyces cerevisiae (brewer's yeast)
Lineage: Eukaryota; Fungi; Ascomycota; Saccharomycetes; Saccharomycetales; Saccharomycetaceae
Description: partial large subunit ribosomal RNA
Rfam family: Eukaryotic large subunit ribosomal RNA
Source: RNAcentral